UACGUAGGGUGCGAGCGUUGUCCGGAUUUAUUGGGCGUAAAGAGCGUGUAGGCGGCUAGAUAGGUCCGUUGUGAAAACUCGAGGCUCAACCUCGAGACGUCGAUGGAAACCAUCUGGCUAGAGUCCGGAAGAGGAGAGUGGAAUUCCUGGUGUAGCGGUGAAAUGCGCAGAUAUCAGGAAGAGCACCCGUGGCGAAGGCGGCUCUCUGGUACGUGACUGACGCUGAGACGCGAAAGCGUGGGGAGCAAACAGG
RNAcentral lists this ribosomal RNA (253 nucleotides) under uncultured bacterium. RNAcentral describes it as "partial 16S ribosomal RNA". It matches the Rfam family "Bacterial small subunit ribosomal RNA", at positions 524 to 776 of the family's 1533-position model. The record is from RNAcentral.